AACGAACGCUGGCGGCAGGCCUAACACAUGCAAGUCGAACGCCGUAGCAAUACGGAGUGGCAGACGGGUGAGUAACGCGUGGGAACAUACCCUCCGGUUCGGAAUAACUCAGGGAAACUUGAGCUAAUACCGGAUACGUCCAAGGUUUUAAUCGGCCUCGGAGAAAGAUUUAUCGCUGGAGGAUUGGCCCGCGUCUGAUUAGCUUGUUGGUGAGGUAAUGGCUCACCAAGGCGACGAUCAGUAGCUGGUCUGAGAGGAUGAUCAGCCACAUUGGGACUGAGACACGGCCCAAACUCCUACGGGAGGCAGCAGUGGGGAAUAUUGGACAAUGGGCGAAAGCCUGAUCCAGCCAUGCCGCGUGAGUGAUGAAGGCCUUAGGGUUGUAAAGCUCUUUUACCCGGGAAGAUAAUGACGGUACCGGGAGAAUAAGCCCCGGCUAACUUCGUGCCAGCCGCCGCCGU
RNAcentral lists this ribosomal RNA (461 nucleotides) under uncultured bacterium. RNAcentral's name for it is "bacterial SSU rRNA". It matches the Rfam family "Bacterial small subunit ribosomal RNA", at positions 29 to 521 of the family's 1533-position model. The record is from RNAcentral.